GGUUUCUUGGAAGGUCUGGUCUGCCCGGCAAUCUUUUCUCUUCCUGAACUCUCCUUGUGCUCAGAAUGGCUCCCCGACCACUUACAAAGUGGGUCCUGUGCGAACCAUUUUAUGUUCAUUGUCCUUUCUAGGGACUUGGCUCCAUGGAGUUCUUCAAAAGAGGAAUUAAAGACUCAGGGACCGUGCCAUUCGCUGUGCUUCUCAAAUCAUCAUCAGCUGCUUUUGAGGAUGAACAACAGAGCCCCAGGAGCUGCUCCCAUAAAUGACUUCCAAUACAUUGCGGAGAGAGACUAUUAUUCAGAUGCCUGCUAUUACACGGCCUGCACUCGGCCGUUCCACACCGCGCCUCUCCUGACUCGCUUUCAGAGAUCCACUGUCGUCAGCAAAGGGAGAGUGGGCCUGGAGCUUCCGGGAAAGUGCUCUGAGUUGGUGAAAGCUCCCGGAAUGGCAGGCAUUCACAGUUGCAAGUUGCCACCUGGAACCAAUCCACUGAAAGAACCUACAGAAUGGGAGACACUAACCUACCAAGGCACCCUUUUGGUUUGGAAAUGCCACAGCCAGGCUAUCUGGCUGAAUGAAUCUGGC
This 585-nucleotide long non-coding RNA is filed under the name Ornithorhynchus anatinus (platypus). RNAcentral describes it as "lncRNA (ENSOANG00000047934.1)". Lineage: Eukaryota; Metazoa; Chordata; Mammalia; Monotremata; Ornithorhynchidae. The record is from RNAcentral.